ACCGGCGGCUCGAGUGGUGGCCACUAUUACUGGGCUUAAAGCGUUCGUAGCUGGCUUGUUAAGUCUCUGGGGAAAUCUUCCGGCUCAACCGGAAGGCGUCUCAGGGAUACUGGCAGGCUAGGGACCGGAAGAGGUGAGAGGUACUCCAGGGGGGGGACUCACAUCGUGUGAUCCGUGGGGGAGGAAAUGAGGCGGGGGCGUCACGCCAGGAUGGCUCCGACAGUGCGGAACCUAAGCUCUUGCAGCAUACCG
This 252-nucleotide ribosomal RNA is filed under the name uncultured prokaryote. Its description in RNAcentral is "partial 16S rRNA". It matches the Rfam family "Archaeal small subunit ribosomal RNA", at positions 475 to 726 of the family's 1478-position model. The record is from RNAcentral.